GACGAACGCUGGCGGCGUGCUUAACACAUGCCAGUCGAACGGAAAGGCCCUGCUUUUGUGGGGUGCUCGAGUGGCGAACGGGUGAGUAACACGUGAGUAACCUGCCCUUGACUUUGGGAUAACUUCAGGAAACUGGGGCUAAUACCGGAUAGGAGCUCCUGCUGCAUGGUGGGGGUUGGAAAGUUUCGGCGGUUGGGGAUGGACUCGCGGCUUAUCAGCUUGUUGGUGGGGUAGUGGCUUACCAAGGCUUUGACGGGUAGCCGGCCUGAGAGGGUGACCGGCCACAUUGGGACUGAGAUACGGCCCAGACUCCUACGGGAGGCAGCAGUGGGGAAUAUUGCACAAUGGGCGGAAGCCUGAUGCAGCUACGCCGCGUGCGGGAUGACGGCCUUCGGGUUGUAAACCGCUUUCGCCUGUGACGAAGCGUGAGUGACGGUAAUGGGUAAAGAAGCACCGGCUAACUACGUG
This 468-nucleotide ribosomal RNA is filed under the name uncultured bacterium. RNAcentral's name for it is "partial 16S ribosomal RNA". It matches the Rfam family "Bacterial small subunit ribosomal RNA", at positions 28 to 507 of the family's 1533-position model. The record is from RNAcentral.